GGGGAAUAUUGCACAAUGGGGGAAACCCUGAUGCAGCGACGCCGCGUGAGUGAAGAAGUAUUUCGGUCUGUAAAGCUCUAUCAGCAGGGACGAUAAUGACGGUACCUGACUAAGAAGCCCCGGCUAACUACGUGCCAGCAGCCGCGGUAAUACGUAGGGGGCAAGCGUUAUCCGGAUUUACUGGGUGUAAAGGGAGCGUAGGUGGCUGGAUAAGUCAGAUGUGAAAGCCCAGGGCUCAACCCUGGGACUGCAUUUGAAACUAUCUGGCUAGAGUGCAGGAGAGGUAAGUGGAAUUCCUAGUGUAGCGGUGAAAUGCGUAGAUAUUAGGAGGAACACCAGUGGCGAAGGCGGCUUACUGGACUGUAACUGACACUGAGGCUCGAAAGCGUGGGGAGCAAAC
This 400-nucleotide ribosomal RNA is filed under the name uncultured bacterium. RNAcentral describes it as "bacterial SSU rRNA". It matches the Rfam family "Bacterial small subunit ribosomal RNA", at positions 356 to 773 of the family's 1533-position model. The record is from RNAcentral.